This 5665-nucleotide long non-coding RNA is filed under the name Vitis vinifera (wine grape). RNAcentral's name for it is "long non-coding RNA (VVIN_LNC002095)". Lineage: Eukaryota; Viridiplantae; Streptophyta; Magnoliopsida; Vitales; Vitaceae. The record is from RNAcentral.
AUAGUUAACAUGAAUGGCACGCACGCACACUGACACACUCACACACACUCACACACACAUGCCUGCAUACAGUUAUCAGAAGCAGAACUUGUAGAUAUGUUUGGCUGAGAAAAACAAGAGCACCAUAAAUGCUGGCAUACUAUAAUACUUAGCAUGAGUUGAUGUGCAUGCACUAACCAUACAGAGAGAGAGAGAGAGAGAGAGAGAGGUGAGGUACCAUAGCUAAAGAGCUCUUCAUACUACAUUGAAUAGGAUGAGGAAUAUAAGCCACUGAAGAAUCUUGAAGUGCAAAGAAGACAUCUUUGAUGCGAGACACCAGCUUCAAAUCCUCAACAACCUGCUUUCCUCAAGUGAAGGAAAGAACAGAUAAGUAAAUGUAGGUUUAAAUGAUGCAUAGAUUAUGACUUAAGAGACUUGAGGUUGUAUGUCGCAUUGCAGAGAUCCAUUAUAACAAAAUUAAUGCAUACAUUUAAAAGUUCUAUUCUAACAAAGGGAGAUAUUGCAUAAGACCAAGCACAAAGUAUGGUAAUAAACUCGAUACUAGAAAUAAAAGCAAUGUUGAAAACUUGGAGCAACAAAUGCAAACAUUCGUCUUUAAUAAGUAGCCACACUGCCCAGGCAACCAAAAAAGGUGAGGUGAAAAUUUGUGGUGCAUAGCAACUAUUUAGUUGUUUAACUAAUCAACGAUUGGAAGAUUGCUCAUCAACUCAUGCAAAUCGAGUAAAAGCUCUCGCUUUCUAGUGGUGUCCACACUGCCAGCUGCUUGGGAUAUUACACUUACAGGUUCCAUUCCCAUAAGGCAUUUUCAACUGUUUUAGUGAACCAGACAACAAUGUGACAUGGUCCACAUAGUAAUAAGUUUGUUGUCAUCAGUACCAUAUUCUAGAACAGAUGUCAGACGUUCCAAAAAUUGAUUCUUGAAGCCUCAUACAAAUAUACUUCAUUUUGUAAUCUGAUUUGAAAGUUGAACAAUUCUCAAGCAGGAUAUUGUUUAAAUUUAACCAGAUCACCUUUACAGUAUGUUAAGUUUACUGACAUAGGAUGUUAUGGAUGCUUGCAAUUGUCGCUUUUAUCAAUUAUCAUACACCCGCUUCAAAAUACUAGAGAAGCAACAGAUAAGUGCAUUGCAUUUCAGAAAAGUUAUUAAAGAAAAAAACCAAAAAAAAAAAAAAUGGAUCCAACAACCAAUCAGAUUUCAAAAAUGAGCUACCAUGCACGAUUUGUCAAUGCAACAAAUGGCUAGAAAUUAUCUUACUUGCUGUAAAGAGCCAAGCUGUACAACUCCAUGUGGAACAACAGCCACAACAACAAUGGUCUGCACAACAAAGGAAAAUGGUUUAUGUCAACAGAAUGUCUCUGUACAGUUAAGACAAAUGCCAAGUAUAAGGCAAAACAAACUAAAUGUAGUAGAAAAGGUUCCCUAAUCUAAGAAUUUUAUCUUGAAUUGUAUAGCCAUCAAUCCAUUAUUUAUGAAUCAAUAAGAGAAGUCCUAAACUUUUUCCUAUUGAGUAAAGAACUUCGAAGAAAUGAUGGAAUGUAUUCAAUCACUAAGGUGAAUGAACAAAACCAUGGAAAUAAACAUCAGGAGUAGAAAUUGUUUAUAAAUCAUCAUAUCGAUGCGAAUAUGACAAAAUCUAAUGCAAUUCUAACUGUCCAAGGCAGUAAAUUCACUUUUGACAUUAAAAAAAAGGCACUACUUGGGUGCGAAAAUGACAGUAUGUUGACCCAAACCUACCAAAAGUUGCAUCCCUUGCACAACCCUAAUCCCCACAGUGAUGCCUCGAAAAGAAAAAGGAGCAUCUCAAUAGAUAAAACUUUCACUACAGAGACUAAAAUGCAACUACGUGCAACUACAUAAUAUUCUUACCAUUGAAAGGCCAUCAUCUGAUGGGUUCAGCAUCAACUGUGUAUGUGUAAGGUGGCUACCAAUCAUAAAUCUAAUAUUUGCAGGUUGAUAAUGAGUAAGAAGGAUGCACAAAAAAAAAACGAGAAUUUUCAAGAUAAACAUAUUUGACAUGAACAGCUCCAAGAGGUGAAAGAAUGAAAGGACAGCCAAAUCAAAUAGCAUAAACAUCUAAGAGAGACGGGAAACAACAUCACCAGUGAGAAGUAGUACAGGUAUCUAAAAUGCUGGUGGAGGACAAGGUGGAGGUGUUGAGGGUAGAAAAGGAUAUAAAUGAGUUAGAUUUAAAAUAUUAGAAUGGAGGUAAAAAUGGGGAUGAAAGAGUUCCAGUUCAAAUUCAAGUAGUUUAGAAAAGGCAUUACAGAUUUAUGGUGACCAGGAGGACAUUAAAAAGGCAACUAGUUAAAUCCACUACUCUUCUGAUUCUCAGUUCAAGGAUUAAAAUAGGUUCACAAUAAGCAGCUUUCAUCAUGCUGGCUAUGCCACAGCCUGUAGCCCAAAUGUAGAUUAAAAAUAAAUGUAGUGAAAACCACCAAAUGACCAUAAUAAUUCAAUAGAUCAUUCUUCUUUACUAUUAGUGGAAGUGUAUUAACAUCAGCCCAUAAGGGCCAGUAAUUAGAUUGGCUACUUUUGUUUUUUUCCAUAUCCUGACAAUAACCAUAAAAAUGCCCCUAAAAAACUGUUUGCUAGCCUGUGCAUAUGAAUGUCUCCAUAUGAUAUCAUUCAUCACAACAAAUAAAAUAAAUUACAGAGAGAAAACAUACCUUAAUCCCAGCUGAAAACUGUGCUUGCCACCCAUCACAGUACUGGAAAUCAACCAAAAAUCAUGAAUAAGAAAGAAAAAAAUUGCAAAUAAUCAGUGCAGUAAUAGAACCUAAUCCAUUUUCCAGUGUAAUCACCUCAAAUGAUGAAGAGGAAUUAGUUGUAUGCUUAUCUGAAAAAAUCCACUGAUGCUUUCCAGUAACUGCCACCUGUCCAACAAUCCUGUUCAACAAAGGACUAAUGUGAAAACUACAACAGAAGGUCUUUCCUGGACUUGAAUUGUUUUGAAUUUGAACUAUUACCCCCAAUGAGAACAGUAUAGACAGGUAAUGAACCUGUAAGCAUAAUUGGACGAGAAUGAUAAUUGAUAAAAGAUAUUUUAUAAUUUUAAAUCUGCCCAAUUAAUGCUGACUUGAGUAAGGAGAUGUAAUUGGAAAAGAGAGUGACAUGAUGCAAGACUGCAACAACACCGAUAUAUAGAUGAUAACUUCUAAUGACAAUGGAUAAUUUCCAUUAGGUAAAACUUUCUUCCCACCAAACUAUAUGGUCCCAGUCAAGCUAUUGUACUAUGGCAGGUGAAAGAUAAAUCAGUUAAGAGACAUACCCUUCCCCUAGAGAAUACACAUGAUAUGACAUCUUUGCCACAGCCAACCCAAGAGCAUCAUGUGAAUAGUGCCCAUCAUGCAAGGUGUCUGGUGUCUUGCUGAAGCACUUAUCCUCCAAAGGAUCAUGUUGGUCAUGGUUGUCAUAGUAAGCAUCCUCCCAAGUCAACACCCUGCAAGAAAUUCCAUAUGCCAAAAUGAAAAAGACAGGAACAUUGUAAGAUGUUUAACUCCUGAAAAGGCCUAACUCCUAAUCUCAAUGCUCAACCACAACAAAAAAUUCUUCCAACAUGCAUGCACACACAAGAAUAAACCAUGUUAACAUUCAAUUCCAUGAAAAAAUUAUUAUACACAAUAAUAAGUAGACAAACUUGAAUUCCUUCAGGUGGAGACAUGAUGCAGGUACCAUCUAAAAUCACAGGCAAGCCUAAUAACUACAAUUAUAUAUAUAUAUAUGUAUUUUUUUUUUUUAAAUCAGAAGCCUAAUAACUACAAUUGCACCUUCCAUUUGACAAGCCAGAUCCAAUUGAAGUAUUCUUUCACCAGUAUAGACAUUAUAGCACCCAUUCAUUUUCUUUGGAAACAAAAUUAUAAUUAGAAGAUAUACUAGCUCUAAUCCAUCCCAAAAUUUUACAUAUACCUAGAUGUAUAACACAUGAUCAUCGACUUGCAAGCCUCAAAUUCCAGACUUGAAAUAUGCAAUUUACAAGCCAUAUUCUUGCAACUGAAAUCUAUUUGUAGUAAACAAAUAAGAACACAUAAAUUAAAACAUUACAGUUAUCAUAGAAAGAGGUUUUGAAUUCAUGAAUUGAAAUCAAAAUUCUCAUUCGCAGUACAUUGGAUUAGCCAAAUUUACGACCAAAUUUUGAGAAACCCCACACUUCUCAAUCUUUUCAAUGACCCAAUCGAAUUCCCUUCAAUGUCAACAGAAUUUCCUAAUAACUGGUUCAGAUUUCCAGAAAAAUAUAAUGUUGUGUUUUCCAUUUUUUUGUUCAUGAACUUUGAAAUAACCAAUUAACCUAACCUAGUACAAUUAUUUGCCGAGUAAAGUUGAGCUUUAUCUAGAACUACAAGUUUCUUCUCUUUCUGAAAUAAUCAACUCAAUUAAAUCCAGUACAAUUAUUUGCUGAAUCAAUCAACCUUUUUAAUUUCCUAAAAACCCAAACAAUGAAACAUCUAAAACCAGAAUUCCCUUUCCAAGCCAUUAAAUCAGGCAAAACUAUUGGCUGAGUUCGUUGCUUUUCAUUUUCUUAAAAAGCACACAACUAAACAUCUAAAACUACAAUUUCCACUCCUUUUAAUAUAAUCAACUCAGUCAAUCUAGCACAAUUAUUGAAGGAGUUAGUCAAGCUUUGCAUUUUCUUAGAGAUCAAAGCACAAAACCCAAAGCACCAAUACCCUUGUUUUUCUUCUCCUGUUUUCUCAACUACGAAACGAAGUGUAUAUGCAUGAAAGACACGAAAAAGGGCUAGAAGAUAAGAGAAGCAAAGAAUCAACUUACAUGCGAGCCCGAUGUUUGAGUUUCCAAAAGACGGCGUACUUCCACUCAGUAUUGAAACAGAGGCUUCUCAGCGUUUGCUGCAAGUCAGUAGCCAUCUCUUCACCCCCUCAAAAUCCUAAUACGCCCCUAAAAUUUCCUUCAAUUGGGUCAACCAAACCUCCAAAAAAAAAAGCUUAAUUUCCUGCGAUUUCCAUCUGCCCCUAGCUCCCCCUGUAAGAUCCUCUACCCGCCUGUUUAAUCCGCAACCCAGCUCGCCGCUUUAUUGGCGGUCCUACCGUCGGCAGGAGCAGCCGAUCCAUCACCCCCCUCCCUCCUUCCCCCCCUCUACCCAAAAACCCAAACUCAAUUCACUCAAAGUCGCUCAAACAACUGAAAUCACGAUACCGACAAUCAAGAUUUCGAAACAGAGCAACAACAAGAUACAGUUUCCACACUCAGCCAUUAGAUUGUCCGGACACUGUUCCUCUUUUCCACCACAGUCUGUAGCGAAAUGUAGGGAGCACAACAAUGCGAAGACUAGCUUAUAUCGAACGACAUGGAGGAUGAAAAUCCGAGCUCCAGGGAGAUCAACUUACGAAGAAGUCACAAAAUUGAAUUGAAUAGAUGAAUGAAAGUUUCAGAUGGGAACAAAAAGCAUUGCCAAGUGGUGCCCUAGUGCAUCAAGAGUGGAACUCGACGCUUUGGCUGAGUGAGAAAUGAGAAGCAGAGAUGAAUUCAGAGGUGUGAGCCACAUGUGGUGCCAUUAUAGAGAGAGAAAGAAGAGAGAGAAAGCACCUAAAAGGGAGGCUAGAGAGAGAAGUAGAAAGAAAAGCCUCAAAGCUUUUCUUUUGCUUUGUAGAGAGAGAAAGCAGACCAAGCCGUUUGCUUUUGAGAGAGAGAUGGAGAUGGUGAAUAAAA